GGUCCGUCCUCAGCUGCUCUGACCUCCUGAGUAAGCCACAUGACUCAGCCCUUCCAGGCUGUGGCUGAAAGGAAGCAGGUAUGAGAACCUGCAUGGAGCACCAGCCUGUGCCAGAUAAGUGUGGAGUUUCUCACAGCUGACUGAUAGAGGGAUUACUGGCAUUCCUGCAUUGCAGAUGGGAAGGCAGAACUGAGAGUUCCUCCUUCACCAGUUUUCCAUGACUCUUCACUUUGUCUUGCAUGCUUCAAAAUACCAGAGGGAGAGAGCAGAGGUGCAUCUGAAGUGAAAGGAACUCUCCUGGACACGAUAGAAUUUUACAACAGACACAGAAUGGGAGAAACCUAGGAAGUUUGUGGCAGGAUGGGGACCUCUUCUCCAGUGCCGGGGAUGGCUCCGUCUUGCAGCAUGCUCAGUGCUCGCUGCUGGAGCACGCCCAGGGCCAGCUGCUGCUGCUCCAGCUCCAGUGAGCAUGCCUCGAGGCAUUCAAGGAGGGCCGUGAGCUCGACUUUUGAGGCUUUUUCUGUUGAACUUCCAGCUUCCUGCAUGGAAGAAGUCUUCAACAGUGAAAACUCAGACAGCUUCUUUUCUGCAUCGUUCAUCAACUCGAUAACCUCUUCCCUUGCUCUCUGGUACUCCUGCCAUUGAACCGUACAUCUUGAAAGAGUCCAAGAGAAAUAAAUAAGCAAUACAAACCCAGCUAUUUCCACACAGAGCUCUGGUGUCUACAUGUCUAAUAAUAAGAGAGAAAAACAAAUUUACAGGCUAAGGGAAGUCAUCUUCUGUGCUAGCUCUUCCUUUCCAGUUGGCUUGAUGAGUGGGUCUAGCUUGGUCACCAGACCUUGGAGUUCCUCCAUGUUGUUGUGGAACUGACACUCUGUUUUGAAAAAUUCCACGUGACUUUUGAGAUUUUCCUCCGCACUCUCAACAUCUAGGCCAUUGCCUGCCAGCUGUAACAUUUCCUGGGCGUCUUCAAGCCAGUCAUUAGCGGUUUGGAACACUUGAUAAUACCUUUGACAGUGACUGUAUAUGUCUGUCAAGGUUGCCUGAAAGACAGUCAUUGUGAUAAAAUCAACUUCCAUUUACAGUGGGUUUGUAAGAAGUCACUUCAUUUUUCCAGCUUUUUUCUAAUCCUCAGCUUUAUAAAUGCUAUGAAAAGUUAACAUAUAAUUUGGGAGAACUUUUUUCAUGGUGAGUGCCUCUGAAUCCUUUAUUCCCCAUUUUGCUAAUCUUACUAUAAUUCUGCCGAUGUGGUUAAAAUACAUCAUGGAUAAGUAAGAAGAAAAAUAAACUAUAAAUUUAUGUUAGCAUCUUGA
Cricetulus griseus (Chinese hamster) is the source of this 1313-nucleotide non-coding RNA. The record is from RefSeq and is a predicted model, not a curated record. NCBI's taxonomy places the organism in Eukaryota, Metazoa, Chordata, Mammalia, Rodentia, Cricetidae.